RNAcentral lists this unclassified non-coding RNA (342 nucleotides) under soil metagenome. Its description in RNAcentral is "partial contains 5.8S ribosomal RNA, internal transcribed spacer 2, and large subunit ribosomal RNA". The stretch from base 1 to 119 matches the Rfam family "5.8S ribosomal RNA", at positions 36 to 154 of the family's 154-position model. The record is from RNAcentral.
AUGAAGAACGUAGCGAAAUGCUAUAAGUAAUGUGAAUUGCAGAAUCCAGUGAAUCAUCGAAUCUUUGAACGCACAUUGCGCCCGCCAGCAUUCUGGCGGGCAUGCCUGUUCGAGCGUCAUUUCAACCCUCGACCUCCCCUUGGGGAGGUCGGCGUUGGGGACCGGCAGCACACCGCCGGCCCUGAAAUGGAGUGGCGGCCCGUCCGCGGCGACCUCUGCGCAGUAAUACAGCUCGCACCGGGACCCCGACGCGGCCACGCCGUAAAACACCCAACUUCUGAACGUUGACCUCGAAUCAGGUAGGACUACCCGCUGAACUUAAGCAUAUCAAUAAGCGGAGGA